UGGGCAAUCUGCCCCUAGCUCUGGGAUAACUCCGGGAAACCGGGGCUAAUACCGGAUACGACCUCGAGCGGCAUCACUUGAGGUGGAAAGUUUUUCGGCUAGGGAUGAGCCCGCGGCCUAUCAGCUUGUUGGUGAGGUAACGGCCCAUCAAGGCGACGACGGGUAGCCGGCCUGAGAGGGCGACCGGCCACACUGGGACUGAGACACGGCCCAGACUCCGUACGGGAGGCA
RNAcentral lists this ribosomal RNA (231 nucleotides) under uncultured bacterium. RNAcentral describes it as "partial 16S ribosomal RNA". It matches the Rfam family "Bacterial small subunit ribosomal RNA", at positions 118 to 350 of the family's 1533-position model. The record is from RNAcentral.